GAGAGAGAGAGAGAGAGAGAGAGAGAGAGAGAGAGAGAGAGAGAGAGAGAGAGAGAGAGAGAGAGAGAGAGAGAGAGAGCAUGGGAAGGGCAGGAACAUAAAGGAAUGAUAAGAGGAGAAAGUCGAGGGAAGGAAGGAAAGCAGAGAACGGUUAAGAAGACGGGUUCUAAUUCGCCCCAGUGAAAUCUGAUUAUUUUGUGCAGAACACGAGUGAGCCAGGGGAGGGAAAGAAGGAGGAGAGAAAGAGGGAGAGGGGAAGAGGAGUAGGAGAGAAGAGAGCAGAGCUGAAGUGGAUGGAUUACUUUGAGUAGGUAAAGGACAAAAUGGGACUACGGUAGAGUGACAGGGCCAUUCAGAAAGCGAGAGAGAGAGAGAGAGAGAGAGUAGAGAGAGAUUGGAGAGAGAGAUAUAGUGAGAGAGAGAGAGAGAGAGAGGGAGCCUCAUUCUUGUUUUCACUGCAGCAAAAGAUCAUUCACUUUUCCAGCAUGGACCCGGUCCCCGCUCGCAGUGCGGCUCUACGACUGUGUGUGCGUGCGCGUGUGUGAGAGAGUGUGUGUGUGUGUGUGUGUGUGUGUGUGUGUGUGUGUAUCCACGUAGUUGUGUAUUAACCCUCCAUGUGUGUUAUUAACUCCCUCCUCUGAAUCUCUCUCUCCAUCCAGACUAAUAUCACUCCAUACUCUCUGUAGUAUACCACUGUUCAAUGAAGGGCACAUAUAGUGGGAUAAUGCCGCGACGAAUUUCUGCGACUCAAAAGUCGUUUGCUUCUUUCUCGCGUCUUCUUUCGUCGACCCCCGUCUCUCGUCUCCUUUUCUCAUCUCCUACUCUCGUCUCUUCAUCUUCUCUCCUUCAUCCCCUCUGAUCUGCAAGAGCAGGAAUAGUGAAAGCCGGUCCUCCUGUAGGCUUUACUAGUGUGCUUCCCUUCAUCCUCUCGUUACAGAUCAGUGCCGACGAAGGAAGGAAGGGAGACUAUUGAGAUGCACCCCUCGUUGUACAAGGGCACUGCAUAGCCUACUACAGUACACACACACGCACACACACACUGACUCUGCAAACACAGCAACAAUAUGAAUAGGGCUCUGCUUACAUACUACAGCAGCAGUGUAUCAGCUAUAUUAAGACUUUGCCGUAAGGAGACCCUGUGCUUGUCUGUGAAGGUGCUGUAUAGCCACACACUCCAACGGCUACGCCAAAGGAGGAAUGUAGCCACAUGAUAAGCUAAUCCAGUGUAAUCAAUGACAUCGCAUCGCCGCAGUAAGGGUUAAUACAGUAUCAUCAGAAUGUACUCAAUCGACUACACGGCACGUUAGCUUUGCACCGAGCACGAGAGAGGGAGAGAAGAACAGAGAGAGAGAGAGAGAGAGAGAGGGGAGAGGGGAGAGAGACAGAGGGGAGGGAGAGGAGAGUGAAGAGGGAUGGGUGAGAAAGAGGGAGAGAGGGGAAGAGUGAGUGCGCGAGAGGGAGGAGCGCAAGAGAGAGGUAGAGAGAACAGGGUGCAUUAACGGUCUGCAGUCUUUUCUCCCCAUUUUGUGCAGCUCAGCAAAUAAUCGUUCUGCCUCUAGCGCUCCUCUCCCCCUCCUCGCGCGCUCUCUCUCUCUCUUUCCCACUCCACUCUCCCCUCUCUCCCAUUGGAUAAGCCUGAAACUUGGUGAGAGCGAGAGAUGGAGGGAUGGAGAGAGAGAGACGGAGGGAGGGGGCGUGAAACACUCAUAUUCAUCUCACUCCUCUCUAAUUGAAGAAAGGGUUUUAGUGAAAUGAAAGGCAGGAGGACGGGAAAAGUGGGGCCAUGCAGGGGGG
This 1794-nucleotide long non-coding RNA is filed under the name Salmo salar (Atlantic salmon). RNAcentral's name for it is "lncRNA (ENSSSAG00000090756.1)". Lineage: Eukaryota; Metazoa; Chordata; Actinopteri; Salmoniformes; Salmonidae. The record is from RNAcentral.